AUGAAUAAAGUCAAUAGCUACAUGUGCCCCAAAAUUGAUUUUGAAAAGAGAAGAAAAUGGUCCUUUCAUAUUGAUUAAACAGUGUACACAACAACCCAAAUUAUAAUUCUGUACACACUUUGUCACUGUGUGUUGUAAUGUUGGUUGAUGGAAGAUGAUCAACUCGUGAGAUUGAAUUACAACAUAUGUCAUAGACAUUACAUCACUACAUCACUCAAUAUCGAAAUCUCUUGGAUCACCUAACAUCAAACAAUUUUAUUUGGAGAUCAUAUUGGGUCUGAGACAUCAUCAUUAAAUCAACGAAGAAGAUGCAGUCGUUUGGUAUGCAACAACACUGAUCACCAGGUUCACCACUAUGGAGAUGUGACCGUGUGAAACUGCAAUUUGACAUGCAUCAACAUAUCACAUAUCCCCUGUGGUGCCUCGGACAAUGGCAUCGAUAUAAAGUUAAUGAA
Long non-coding RNA from Lathyrus oleraceus (garden pea), 455 nucleotides. RefSeq lists it as uncharacterized. Lineage: Eukaryota; Viridiplantae; Streptophyta; Magnoliopsida; Fabales; Fabaceae. The transcript has 3 exons. The record is from RefSeq and is a predicted model, not a curated record.